AAUGCAAUGCACAUGACCGCUAUGGUGCGUAGCCCGAUCCAUGGGUACCCUGCGCUCAUUGGGGGUGUGUACAGACUCCGGAGGGGCUCCUACAGCCCAAGCGCAAAAAUGAUGCGGCGUGCAGCCCGAUCCAUGCAAUAAGCUAUUGCGACGUGCAGUCCGAUCCAUGCAAUGAGCUAUUACGGUGCGCAGUCCGAUCCAUGCAAUAUGCUACUGCGGCGUGCAGUCCGAUCCAUGCAAUAUGCUACUUCAGCAUGCAGUCCGAUCCAUGCAAUAUGCUACUGUGGCGUGCAGUUCGAUCCAUGCAAUAUGUUACUGCGGCGUGCAGUCCGAUCCAUGCAUGUUUAUGCACAUGCUCACACCACUCCAGGCCUGAAAGCCUCCUUACAGCAUCUUCAUGCCCUCACAUAUGGCCCUCAGCCUCAAUCAGUCCAAAAUAGUCAAAAGCCUCUCGGGCUUUCGUAAACAAUUAUACUCAGCUCAAAUGAUAGUUCAAAUGUCGUUUAAAACUCCAAGUUUGAGUAAAUAGUCAAAAGCCCCUCGGGCAUCCGUAAAACGGUAAUGCUCAGCUCAAACAAUAGUACAAAUAUCAGUUAAAUUUCCAAGUUUGAGAAAAAUAUAGCUGAGUUCAUGAAACAAUAUAAAUCACAUGGACUGAGUUCAAAUAAUAUUUCAAAUAGUAAGGAAAACUGUGAUGAUUGUUCAUAAAGAGUUCAAAUAAUUGGCAAUAAGUCCCGAGUAUGGCAAUGAGCCCAAGUCAUAAUGAUAACAAUAAAUCAUUUGCAAAUUAUGCGGAGAAAACCAACAACAGGGACGGACCAAGUCACAAUCCCCAACGAUGCUCUACCCAUGCUCAGGUCCAGCGUGCAAGUCACCACAUACAGCACUAAGAGGUGCAAAUCCGGGGUUUCAAACCCUCAGGAUAUCAUUCCCAAGUAUUACUGACCUCGAACCGGCGAAAUCUCAAGUUCGCGAAGCCUUUGCCCCUUAAAUCAGUCUCCACGCGCGUCAAAUCUAGCCAAAAAUAGAGCGAAUACAUCACAAUAUGCAAAUGGGACAAUACCCAAUCGAAAACAAUCGAAUUAUAGCAAGAACCUCGAAACUAGCAAAACCCGAGCUCGGGCCCUCUUCUCGUAAAAUUACAAAACUCACAUUACCUGAUCCCUCGUCUUGCCACGAGUUCACACAUACCAAGAACUCUCAAAUCCGAGUUCAAAUGACCUAUCAAAUUCCAAUUUGAAAUACCAAAACUCAAGCCCUAGCUUUAGCCCCCUUUUAAUGAAUUUCAAUCAAUUUCCAUGCUAAUUCUAUCAUAAUCUCGUGUAAUUAAGCCAAGGAACUUACCUCUAAUCAUUCCUCCUUAAAUCCCUCUUCAAAAUCGCCGCAAAGCUCUCAAAGCUCGCUCAAAAAUGGAGAAAAAUGCAUAAUCCUCGCGGAUGAAAUGUUCUAAUUAAACCUUUCUGCCCAGAACGCAUUCCGCUUCAGCGGUCCUCUUACCACCUACGCGAAUUCCGCUUACGCAUCCCUUUGACCGCUUCAGCGGUUUGACUUGAAUCUUCAGUGACCGCUUCUGCGGUCCUUGACCGCAUCCACGGCUACCGCUUUCACAUUCCAAAUUCCGCUUCUGCGGUCCCAGCCAUAUUCCCCUUGGCCGCUUUUGCGGCUCAUCAAGCGCUUCUGCGGACACCGCUUAAGCGGUCCAUCGUCCGCAAACUCGGAAAUACCAGAAAACAAAAUCCCAAAUCUGAAGCAUACUGCAAAUAUUCUCGUUUAACCAUCCGGAAUCACCCCGAGGCCCCCGAGGCCAAACCACAAACUCAGACAUGACCAAAUACCUCAUUCAAACUUACUCGAGCCAUGAAAACACCAAAAAUCACCAAAUUCCUCAAAUCCAAGCGUAAGUUAACUUUGAUUUUUUCCAAAAUCACAUUCGAUGUUGAACCCAACCAAACGAAGUCCGAAUGACCUGAAAAUUUGCAGACAUAUCCAAAAUCACUAACAAAGCUACCGCAACUCUUGGAAUUCCAUUCCGACCCUCGGAUCAAAAUCUCACCUAUCAACCAGAAUCCGCCAAAAUUNN
This 2080-nucleotide long non-coding RNA is filed under the name Nicotiana benthamiana. RNAcentral describes it as "long non-coding RNA (NBEN_LNC014412)". Lineage: Eukaryota; Viridiplantae; Streptophyta; Magnoliopsida; Solanales; Solanaceae. The record is from RNAcentral.